This 93-nucleotide transfer RNA is filed under the name Candidatus Saccharimonadota bacterium. Its description in RNAcentral is "tRNA-Ser". It matches the Rfam family "tRNA". Rfam says of the family: Transfer RNA (tRNA) molecules are approximately 80 nucleotides in length. RNAcentral also lists the same sequence under 1 other name. Lineage: Bacteria; Candidatus Saccharimonadota. The record is from RNAcentral.
GGAGAGGUACCCAAGUGGCUGAAGGGGCUGGUUUGCUAAACCGGUAGACCGGCGAAAGCUGGUGCGAGGGUUCGAAUCCCUCCCUCUCCGCCA